RNAcentral lists this ribosomal RNA (468 nucleotides) under uncultured bacterium. RNAcentral's name for it is "partial 16S ribosomal RNA". It matches the Rfam family "Bacterial small subunit ribosomal RNA", at positions 28 to 507 of the family's 1533-position model. The record is from RNAcentral.
GACGAACGCUGGCGGCGUGCUUAACACAUGCAAGUCGAACGGAAAGGCCCUGCUUUUGUGGGGUGCUCGAGUGGCGAACGGGUUAGUAACACGUGAGUAACCUGCCCUUGACUUUGGGAUAACUUCAGGAAACUGGGGCUAAUACCGGAUAGGAGCUCCUGCUGCAUGGUGGGGGUUGGAAAGUUUCGGCGGUUGGGGAUGGACUCGCGGCUUAUCAGCUUGUUGGUGGGGUAGUGGCUUACCAAGGCUUUGACGGGUAGCCGGCCUGAGAGGGUGACCGGCAACAUUGGGACUGAGAUACGGCCCAGACUCCUACGGGAGGCAGCAGUGGGGAAUAUUGCAAAAUGGGCGGAAGCCUGAUGCAGCAACGCCGCGUGCGAGAUGACGGCCUUCGGGUUGUAAACCGCUUUCGCCUGUGACGAAGCGUGAGUGACGGUAAUGGGUAAAGAAGCACCGGCUAACUACGUG